This 441-nucleotide ribosomal RNA is filed under the name uncultured bacterium. RNAcentral describes it as "partial 16S ribosomal RNA". It matches the Rfam family "Bacterial small subunit ribosomal RNA", at positions 338 to 795 of the family's 1533-position model. The record is from RNAcentral.
CCUACGAGUGGCAGCAGUCGGGAAUAUUUCGCAAUGGAGGAAACUCUGACGCAGUGACGCCGCGUGCAGGCAGACGGUUUUCGGAUUGUAAACUGCUUUAGACAGGGAAGAAACAAGACAGUACCUGUAAAAUAAGCUCCGUCUAACUACGUGCCAGCAUCCGCGGUAAUACGUAGGGCGCAAGCGUUAUCCGGAUUUAUUGGGUGUAAAGGGUGCGUAGACGGGAAGUCAAGUUGGUUGUGCAAUCCCUCGGCUUAACUGAGGAACUGCAACCAAAACUAACUUUCUUGAGUGCUGGAGAGGAAAGUGGAAGUCCUAGUGUAGCGGUGAAAUGCGUAGAUAUUAGGAGGAACACCAGUGGAGAAGGCGACUUUCUGGACAGUAACUGACGUUGAGGCACGAAAGUGUGGGGAGCAAACAGGAGUAGAUACCCCAGGAGUC